Molecule: long non-coding RNA, 629 nt
Filed under: Sus scrofa (pig)
Lineage: Eukaryota; Metazoa; Chordata; Mammalia; Artiodactyla; Suidae
Description: lncRNA (ENSSSCG00070017598.1)
Source: RNAcentral
AGAAUGAUGGCCAUGCAUUGCUGCUUUCUUUGUAUGCAGGGCACACCUAGGCUACUAUUGAACAAGCUCUAAGGAAACGGAAGACACACAGGGUUGGAGAAACGGAGUGUAGCACGUACUUUCUGGGAAAGGGCCUAUUCUCAGCCCAAAGUCGGGAAGCACAGGCGUGCACACAGACUUCACAAAGGAACAUAAAAGACAAGUACCAGGAAAAGACAUAUUUAUACGGAAGAAAAAAAGGUGAAAACCAAAAUGACCCAAAUGAAAAGAAGAUAAAUAUCAUUCCUCAAACAAUACCUUCACAUCAUAGUUGGAAAAAGUGGAAAGAGACAGAAAACGGGUAAUUAUUGCCAAGAGACUUAAACCAUGCAUUUGGACAGUGAUUAUUUAUUUUUAAACUUGCAAGUAAUCUCAUGAACACAUUUUUGUUAUAUUGGUUAUAAUAGUACAGUCAUAGGAAAGGUCUCUGUUGGCCCCUCCCAAACCCACCUCUCUUCCCAGAGUUUAUCAAAAAGAUGUAAUGGGAAUAACAAAUCUAGACAGUCAUCAUUUUCUCAGUAAGAAAAAUACACACUAGCUACUCCUUGCUACUCUUAUUAUGCUCACUUUUGAUCAUCAGGCAACUUUGC